CCUAACACAUGCAAGUCGAACGGUAACAGGAAACAGCUUGCUGUUUCGCUGACGAGUGGCGGACGGGUGAGUAAUGUCUGGGAAACUGCCUGAUGGAGGGGGAUAACUACUGGAAACGGUAGCUAAUACCGCAUAACGUCGCAAGACCAAAGAGGGGGACCUUCGGGCCUCUUGCCAUCAGAUGUGCCCAGAUGGGAUUAGCUAGUAGGUGGGGUAACGGCUCACCUAGGCGACGAUCCCUAGCUGGUCUGAGAGGAUGACCAGCCACACUGGAACUGAGACACGGUCCAGACUCCUACGGGAGGCAGCAGUGGGGAAUAUUGCACAAUGGGCGCAAGCCUGAUGCAGCCAUGCCGCGUGUAUGAAGAAGGCCUUCGGGUU
RNAcentral lists this ribosomal RNA (381 nucleotides) under uncultured bacterium. RNAcentral describes it as "bacterial SSU rRNA". It matches the Rfam family "Bacterial small subunit ribosomal RNA", at positions 47 to 424 of the family's 1533-position model. The record is from RNAcentral.